AGAGCGAACGCUGGCGGCAGGCUUAACACAUGCAAGUCGAGCGGAUGUAGCAAUACAUCAGCGGCAGACGGGAUAGUAACACGUGGGAACGCGCCCUUUGGUUCGGAAUAACUCAGGGAAACUUGAGCUAAUACCGGAUAAGCCCUUACGGGGAAAGAUUUAUCGCCAAAGGAACGGCCCGCGUCCGAUUAGCUAGUUGGUGAGGUAAUGGCUCACCAAGGCGACGAUCGGUAGCUGGUCUGAGAGGAUGACCAGCAUCACUGGGACUGAGACACGGCCCAGACUCCUACGGGAGGCAGCAGUGGGGAAUAUUGGACAAUGGGCGCAAGCCUGAUCCAGCCAUGCCGCGUGGAUGAUGAAGGCCCUAGGGCUGUAAAGUCCGUUUUAACGGGGAAGAUAAUGACGGUACCGUAGAAUAAGCCCGGACUAACUCGUGCCAGCAGCCGC
This 447-nucleotide ribosomal RNA is filed under the name uncultured bacterium. Its description in RNAcentral is "SSU rRNA". It matches the Rfam family "Bacterial small subunit ribosomal RNA", at positions 26 to 518 of the family's 1533-position model. The record is from RNAcentral.